RNAcentral lists this transfer RNA (87 nucleotides) under Planktothricoides sp. SR001. It matches the Rfam family "tRNA". From Rfam's summary of the family: Transfer RNA (tRNA) molecules are approximately 80 nucleotides in length. Their secondary structure includes four short double-helical elements and three loops (D, anti-codon, and T loops). Further hydrogen bonds mediate the characteristic L-shaped molecular structure. tRNAs have two regions of fundamental functional importance: the anti-codon, which is responsible for specific mRNA codon recognition, and the 3' end, to which the tRNAs corresponding amino acid is attached (by aminoacyl-tRNA synthetases). tRNAs cope with the degeneracy of the genetic code in two manners: having more than one tRNA (with a specific anti-codon) for a particular amino acid; and 'wobble' base-pairing, i.e. permitting non-standard base-pairing at the 3rd anti-codon position. The record is from Rfam by way of RNAcentral. RNAcentral also lists the same sequence under 5 other names. Lineage: Bacteria; Bacillati; Cyanobacteriota; Cyanophyceae; Oscillatoriales; Oscillatoriaceae.
GGAGAGGUGGCAGAGCGGUUGAAUGCGGUGGACUCGAAAUCCAUUAAGGUGUCACAUCCUUCGGGGGUUCGAAUCCCCCCCUCUCCG